CUGCCCCGCGCCGACCGUUAACGGCCAGCACGGCGGCACGCGAUCGCGGGCGGCUGUCCGUUAAAUUUCCCCCCCCUCGCCCAGCGCCAUCUUGGAGAAGCUGCAACCCCUGGGGGCAGGAGGGAGGGCGUGAGCGCGGCUUGCAGGUUGAGGGAGGCAAGUUGUGAGAUUUUCCCUGCAGUUUCAGAGGAGUAAAGCCUUCUUUCACUUCAUCUUGAGAAGUUCCUACAUUCUGAGAAGCAUUUGUCACAGUACACUGCAGAGAGAUCUUCAUUCCAGUGAAGUCUGUUUAUCCAGUGAAGCCCUGUGGGAUACUUUGAUGAAAGAACCCUUGCCUCAUUUAGGGGAUGGAAAGUAAGGGAAAUAAAAAGCAAAAAAAGAAAAAGAGAUAAGAGGACUGAGGCAUGAUCAGAAGAGGGAACACAAAAUGGAACAUGCAGAUGGAAAAGAAAUAGAAAAACAGAGCUGAGCCUAAAGGGACUCAGAAAACUUGCAGCGAUAGAAAUGAGCAAGGCAGCACCUGGAAUCAACCAGCAAUCUCUGCAAGAAAUCUAAGGAACCAGCUUGACAGUUCCAGCCCUUGCCAGUAUGCCUCAGUCUUGAUGAGAGGAGGAGACAUCACAUCUGAUCAUGGGGAGGAUGAAGGACAUAUUAAAGCCUGUUCAGUCCUUGACUUCUGGGUUAUUUUCUCUGGAGCUGGCUUGUCAUGCUUUUUUUCCCUGAGCAUCUCACUAGAAGUGAUUUUGCUGUAUUUAACCACAUGCUGUAAGAAAUUCUAAAAUGUAAAGUAUUAUGUAAAAUGAUUUUCAGAGGAGCCAUCUGAGUAAACAGCCCAGUGAAAAUGGGAUGUGUUUAAGAAGAUUCAAAUGUAUUCCCAACAGGACAUUAGAAAGUUUAAAGGUAAACAAUCAGAUUGUGUACUGCCACAGUUGCACUUCAGGCACAGGGCAGGCACUACCAUGGAAUUAAAACCAGUUCAGGAACUUUCUAAAGAUUUAAAAGCUUCCCACAAAGGUAGAACACGAGCAGAACUUCAGAAAUGCAGUAGGUCCUGUAUGGCAUUUUUAAUUUGAGUGAUGAGCAGUUCUUAAUCUCUGUGUACUGGUUCUCUGGUGCUAAGGGGAAGAAAGUCAGCCUGCCAAGUUCUGUUGCUUGAUCUAACUAACUCUCUUUAAA
This is a long non-coding RNA of Oxyura jamaicensis (ruddy duck), 1176 nucleotides long. RefSeq lists it as uncharacterized. The record is from RefSeq and is a predicted model, not a curated record. NCBI's taxonomy places the organism in Eukaryota, Metazoa, Chordata, Aves, Anseriformes, Anatidae. The transcript is spliced from 6 exons.